Zingiber officinale is the source of this 5457-nucleotide long non-coding RNA. RefSeq lists it as uncharacterized. The record is from RefSeq and is a predicted model, not a curated record. The transcript has 2 exons. Lineage: Eukaryota; Viridiplantae; Streptophyta; Magnoliopsida; Zingiberales; Zingiberaceae.
UCUUUCUUCUUCGCGUAAAAUUUACUUCUUUUACUCCCCCAUUUUUCUCUGUGUGUUUCCUGUUUUUUUAUUUGGUCAGCGCAGGCGCAUAUUUGUGUUUAACUUUGGACUAGUGCCUGUUUUGGUUUGCGCUGCUAGUGUAUGGGAUUAGAUUUAGGGUUUGAGGUAUGUUGGCGAUUGCUAGCUCAUUAUUGGUUCUGAGUCUCCAAAAGAAAACCUUUUGGAGGUUUGACAUAAUCUACAAGUGGGCACUAGACUUUGAGGAUUCCUUGAGAACUUAUGCACAUACUAGGAUGCUAUCAAAAAAUCCCCGCCUAGGCUGUCAGCGGCAGCCCACUGCCCCACCUUUUGCCAAGGUGGUGACGUUAGGCAGUGAGGCAUUAAUCGGCCGCCUAGGCGGCUGGAAUGCCGUUGGGCACCGCCUCCUUAGUGGUGCUAGAUUUUCUUUGUCUCAAAAUACUGGCAGAAUCGAUUCGACAAGGUUUUCGCGACAAAUAGAACCUUGCCGAAUCGGCUGAUUGAUUCAACGUGUUGAUCGAUUCAACACGGUUUUGUUUGUCACAAAACGUUGCCGGAUCGAUUAGCUGAUCGAUUCGGCCAGUUUUUCACGACAAACUUCUUCCCCUUGAGUUGAUCAGCUGAUCGAUUCAACAAAAGAAAAAAAGCAGAAAACGUAGAUUUAUAAAUUAUAGGGUUCUAUUUUAAACUUUUAAUUGGGAUUGUCAGCCGUCCUAAACCCUAACCCUCAUCGUCUUCUCCCUCCCCUUCUUCUUCUUCUUCAUUCCAUUUUCCUCUCCGACUUGCCCUAGUUGCUGCCUUUACUCCCACCCCUUCUUCUGAAAAAUCAACGAGUUGCAAGGAGCUUGCUGCCUAUCCUCUUCCUCCUUGAGUCUUCAUCAAGGAGCUAGUUGUCGCCAAGGCUGCCAAGUGCUAGCAACGAAAGGAAAGCAGCUCUUGUUCCUUCAUUUCCAACCGCAACUGUAGAUAACCUUUUCUCCUGCUAGGUUAGUAAAAUUGUAUCUUCGAUAAAUAAUAACCAUUGCUUGUAUGUUCUUCAUUUCCAGCCGUUGGUUAAUACUUAAUAAAAUUCAAUUGUACAUUAUUAUUUAAAUCUUGUAUGUUAUUGCUUGCCUUGAAUUGAGAAUUGUCAUCUAUGAGUUUUUUGAAUGCUUGAUAAUCAUUGCUUGUAUGUUCUUUAUCAAUGAUUUUUUAAAUGCUUGACAUGUAGUAAAACAUCGGGUACUAUAUCUUCUCAAGCAUGUAAUUCAAUGUCGUCGAUUGCUACCCCUUUGAAGCGUAAUUCAAAUGAUAUUGGAUGGGAAUUUGCGGAGAUGGUGGAUUCUACAAAUUUGGAUAAGUUGAAAUGUAAGUUGUGUCAUAAAAUUACUAGCGGUGGAAUUUAUAGGCUCAAAUAACAUGUUGGCAAUAUCAAGGGAAAUGUUGCCCUGUGUAAGAAAUUCUCGAAUGAGGAUAAAUUAAAGUGUAAGAAUGCAAUUGAAGAAGCAAAAACAAAAAAAAACAACAAAAGAAUAUCAAUGAAAUGGAGGUGAGAGAAGAAGUUGUUCUUGAAAAAUAUGAGGAAAACGAAGGGACUCUAGGGACAAGAAGGAACCCGCUUACUUGGCCCUAUGGACAUAUUUGCAUCUGUUUUUGAUUCCGAAUCUUCAUUGAGUAGAAGACAAUAACAACAAAAUAUUAUUGAUGCACUUUGGAAGCAAACAACACACAGUGUGCACCAAUAUUUAGCUCGAUGGGUGUACGAGUCCGAUAUUCCUUUUCAUGCCAUUGACAAUGAUAGCUUCAAGAGGCUUGUGGAAGCGAUUGGUCAAUUUAGUCCGGGUUAUUGUCCUCCUACUCAAUAUUUAUUAAGGGAGCCCUUGUUGAUGGAAGAGGUAGAUAGAACUCAAAGUCUAUUCAGAAGCAAGAAGAAGAAUGGGCUUUGAAUGGUUGCUCAAUUUUGACCGAUGCUUGGACCGAUCGAAAAAGAAGAAGUAUCAUGAAUUUGUAUGUCAAUUGUAAAGAAGGCACAACUUUCCUUUCUUCUAGGAGCAUCAAAUGAAGUACACACUGGGAAUUAUAUAUUUGAAUAUGUGGACAAGUGCAUUAAAGAAGUUGGGCCCCAAAGUGUAGUUCAAGUGGUAACGGACAAUGCUUAGAAUAAUAUGGCGGCAAAAGAUUUGUUGAAGGAGAAGAGACCACAUAUAUUUUAGACUUCUUGUGCAACUCACACUGUGAAUCUUAUACUUCAAGGAAUUGGGAACCAACCAAAAUUCAAAGGGGUGAUUGAGAAGACAAAGAACUUGACAAUUUUUAUUUAUGAACAUCACAAGACAUUGUCAAUAAUGAGAAAGUUUACCAAAUAAAAGGGACAUAGUGAGGCCGGGAGUUACACGAUUUGCAACCGUUUUUCUAGCUUUGCAAAGUUUGAUGGAGAAGAAAAGUGAAUUAAGAUCUAUGGUUGCUAGUGAAGAAUGAAAUGCAUGCAAACAUUCAAAAAGUGUAAAAAGGAAGGCAACACAUAAUAUCGCUAUGAGUGUCUCUUUUUGGAAUGAAGUUUUUGCUUGAAGGUGUUUGCCCCUUUAGUUAAGUCGCUUCGUCUUGUUGAUGGGGAUAAGAAGCCAUCUAUGGGUUUUGUAUAUGGAGAAUUACUUAGAGCGAGAGAGAAGAUUAAAGCGACAUUCAACAAUCAAGAGCUUCACUAUUCGUCCGAUUAUUGAUAUUAUUGAUGAGAAAAGUCGUAAUUGGCUUGAUAGUCGCUACAUUUGGCGGCCUACCUCUUGAAUUCUUAUUACUCCUUCAAUGAUCAGAGCAUAGGAAGUGAAGAAGUGGUCACGAAUGACUUAUUCACCUGUGUUGAAGCAUUCUUUGCUAGUGAUAUUGAUAGCCAAUGUUAGGUAGUAAAUGUAGAGUUGUUGAAGUAUAUCAACAAAGCGGGGGGAUUUAGAAGAUCAUUGACUAUAAUUGGAUGCACAAGAAAUGAUGAGAAAUACGAUCCGAGUAAGAGCUAAGUACUUAUUUUAUUUUGUUAUUUUUAUUGCUUGCUUGUUGUUUUUUGAUUUUGCUUAUUGUUAUUAUUUGAUUUGUUUUUAUUUAGUUGGAUGGUGGCAUCUUUUUGGAUAUGGUGUACCUAAAUUACAAAAGAUGGCUAAAAGAAUCCUUUUUCUAACUACAAGUUUUUCCGAUUGUGAGAGAAAUUAGAGUACUUUUGAGGGGAUCCAUACAAAGAAAAGAAAUAGACUAGAUACUGGAAGGUUAAACAAUUUAGUCUAUGUUCAAUUCAAUGUCAAGAUCAUAAACAAAAAGAGAAGACAAGAAGAAAAAGGAGUAGAUGUACUAUUUGCUAGUGAAGCAACUAUAGCACAAGGAUGGAUUGUUGAUGGUGGAGAUGAAGAUGUUGAGACAAAUAUUAAAGAUGUCAGAUAACUUCAUGAAGAAGAAUUUGUAUCGAAUGAAGAAGAGGAAGAUGACAUGGAUUUUGAAUUUGAAUCCGAUACAGAGCAAGUGUUGGAGAAAUAUGGAGAUGAACUAGAAGAAAAAUUAGGGAUAUAGGAAAUUAUAUGAGUUAUUUUGUAACUUGUAAGAAAACUUUUGCUAUUUUGUCAGUUUCAGACUUUCAGUUUGUAGUUUGUAUUUUACUCUUUUAGACUAGUUUGUGUACUUUUGCUAUUUCGGUAUUUCUAUUUCCAUUUAUCUAUUGGGAUCAAAUUAUGUAUUUCAUUAUUAAUAUUUCGGAAUUUCUAUUUUGUAUGCUAUGCCUUGUCAGUUUCAGGAUUCUGCGACAAACAAAAUCUUGCCGAAUCGAUUAAUUGAUUGAUUCGGCGUGAUCUGAUCAAUUUGGAAGGAUUCUGUGACAAACAGAAUCUUGCCGCUAAUCGAUUCAACACGGUUAUGUUUAUCGGGAAAAUCCUACCGGAUUGACCAGCAGGGUUUUCCGAGAAAAAAAAUUCUGCCUAUGUAGACACUUAGGCGCUAGGCGGCAGGCAACCCACCUACCGCCUAGCUUCUUUUUUAACAUUGGAUGCAUAGCAUGAGCUUUAUUAUUUUUUCCUUUGUUUUUUUCUUCUUUCUUAAUAAACAACAAAUGGUAUUUUGUUGCUAGGAUACCCAAAGCUAGAUGUAGUUGGUGAACAAAUUUCUUAAGAGAUAUACUCAUCUAAGAUAAUUUUGGUAUCUCCAAUCUCCUGCUGCUGACCUCAGAGGGUUUAUAUGGUUUCUGAAGAUGAAGUCACUGGGGUUAUGUUGCACUACCUUCUUGGUCAAACGAAUUAGAGAGUUGUUGAAUGGAUGAAUACGAAAAUUUUGGAAAACAAUUACAUUACAUCAAGCAUUUGGUUUCAUAAUUCUCUUUUGAUUUAGUGAAUUCUCUAAGAGGCAUAAUGUAGUUCUGUAAAAAAUAGUUAUUAGCUUCUGUCAGUUUGAUAGAUGCUAUGUAAGAAUCCCACAAAUCAAUAGUAUCUAUUCAUGUUUGUGAUUUCACUGCUUGGAUUCCAUCUUGUUUUAUGAAAAAUCCACAAAUCAAUAGUAUCUAUGCAUGUUUGUGAUGUCAUUGUUGUGGAUUCCAUCUUUUUUUAUUUAACUAUGUAGUCGCUUUCUAUUUUGCUUUUAGAUGAUGUCAAAUGUGAUUGCGUGUUAGAUUUUUCAGAAUAUGAUCUUGUUUUAAAAUUCUUUAUUGAACACUUGAUUAGUUUUAUGGGUUAUAUGGCACUCGUUGCGGGCAGGAAUCCUUUGGUCCUGGACUAGUCCUGACCUCCGCCCAUUCAUUGGUGGAGUGGACUGUAUCCCACCUGUUAAACAGGCGACGUCUAACUCACCCCACCAAUGAAUUUGUAGGGCCUCCCCUGGUUGAGCAGAUCCUGGACCAGAGGAUCUGGCCUCCACUGGUUGCUAUGUUUAGAAAACCCUUUUUUUACAAUUAUUUUAUUAUUUAGCAUGUUUUCGUUUUGCUAAUUACAAAUCAAUGAAUGUAUUUUUUCUCAAAUCUCAAAUUAGUUAUUAACCAUUGCAUUAUGUUGGUAAAUGUCUAAUCAAAUACUAUUUCUGAGUUUUCAGUACAUAUGUCUCAUUUGAACUGCCCCAUGCAUUUAAAAAUUAGGUAUAAUUUCCAAAUCGAGUGGUCUUUCUCUUCUUAUAUCUCUUGUUUUAUUUUAUUGUUUCCUCAGAUUGACCCUGUUCUGUAACAUAUCAUUUAUUUAGGCCAAAUAUAAGCUUCCUAAUUCCCGCUACAAUUUGUAUUCACCUGCGUCCAUUCCUGCAGGCUUUGUGAUGUAGCACCGAACUCAACUCAGUGGGUGUAAAAUUAUUAUUAACUGAACUCAACUCAGUGGGUGUAAAAUUAUUAUUAACUGAAAGGUGAUUUGAUACAAAGGAUCCUAACCACUUUUAUACACCGGCCACUUUGAUAGACCUGUGAUGAGAUCGGUUGUACUUAAAAGUUAAAAAUACAACUUGUUUGCUUCC